Non-coding RNA from Peromyscus maniculatus bairdii (prairie deer mouse), 1287 nucleotides. The record is from RefSeq and is a predicted model, not a curated record. Lineage: Eukaryota; Metazoa; Chordata; Mammalia; Rodentia; Cricetidae.
CGGAUGGAUGCCAGGUGUGAGGGACACCGCCUAUGAGGACUGCUAUCUGAGUGUUUUUGGAAAGAAAGCCCCAGGGGAAACAUGUCCAGGGAUAGAGAAUGAGCUCCGCUCACACUUUAGAAGCCUGAGUUAGUGCUUGGGUUAUCUGACCACACAGCAGUACAAUUUUAUCCUGAGGAAAAUCAACCUCGUGCAUGAAAACUAGACUCAAGGUUAAAGUAAUCUUCCCAACUGAGUACAGCGCUGGUAUCUGAAGAAGCCCCUCCUGAGAACCCCAGAGCCGCUCCACUGUGACUACUGGGACAGAUGACAAUGUCCCGUCACCUGAAGGGGGAAAUACAUCGCAGAACAUUUAAAAUAUAUUGCAUUACAGAACACUGCGACCGCGGCUAAGUGCUGGGACUGUGGAGAGCCCUGUGCAGGCAGGAGAGGCGGCAAGUCUGGCUGAUGUUUGCCCUUCAGCUGACAUACGUGCGAGGUGCAGCGAUGGGAUUGCAAGGAAACAUGGUCACCUCCUCGGGGUUCCUCUGCUAGGAUCCCAGAGCCGGCUUAAAGGCACAGCCUCAGGACUGAACAGAAAACAAACUUCCCAGCGUCUUCCUCCUCAGCAAAGCUGUGAGAGCCCAGCAAAUAGACACUUUCCUCAGAUACCAGUUUUCUCUAAAUGUUUGUUGAAGCAUAAGCCUCUUUGGUACCUGCAAUGUUGGCUCCAUCAACUGGCACUGAGAAGAGCAGAGCCGAUGGAGACACAUAGAAUCACCCAUCAUACACUUCAAUCAUGAAUGGAGGAUCUGAGGUCCAGCUGAGGCAAGAGACUGAUGGGAUCACGGCAUCUGUUCAGCUCAUAAGACCUGCAAUGCCAAGUGUUUAGAGAGGAAGUGAGGACCACCUGGCCAGCUGCUUAGACUUCCCUGCAUAGCAAGACGGGUCUGGAAUCUCUGAAGAUGUGCUCUCCCACACAAUGCAAAAAAGGAAAACUUUAUGGUUUUUAUAAAUUGGUAGGUGAUAGGUAGAUGUCUGGUAGCCUCUGCUAUAAAUAGAGAUAAAUAGUCUCAGUCUCAUUUCAUGCCAUCCAAUACUGCUAAGGGAUUUAGUUCAGUUGAGCAAAUGGGGAUAUAGCUCAACCUUGGGAAGCCCUCAAACUUUACAAAGGAAAGGGAACUCAUGAUGUAAAUGACAAUGGGUAAUGAGACUUAGUAUGCAAAUACCUUUUAUAAAUAAAAGUUUUCAAAAGCAACUAACAGGGACACGAUAAAUAUAUGGUCAGGAAAUUCAUAAAAGUUAGAA